This 369-nucleotide ribosomal RNA is filed under the name uncultured organism. RNAcentral's name for it is "bacterial SSU rRNA". It matches the Rfam family "Bacterial small subunit ribosomal RNA", at positions 526 to 896 of the family's 1533-position model. The record is from RNAcentral.
CGUAAGGGGCAAGCGUUAUCCGGAAUUACUGGGCGUAAAGAGUGCGUAGGUGGUUUUGUAAGCGCGGGGUGAAAGGCUAUGGCUCAACCAUAGUAAGCCUUGCGAACUGCAAGACUUGAGUGCAGGAGAGGAAAGUGGAAUUCCUAGUGUAGCGGUGAAAUGCGUAGAUAUUAGGAGGAACACCAGUGGCGAAGGCGACUUUCUGGACUGUAACUGACACUGAGGCACGAAAGCGUGGGGAGCAAACAGGAUUAGAUACCCUGGUAGUCCACGCCGUAAACGAUGAGCACUAGGUGUCGGGGUCGCAAGGCUUCGGUGCCGCAGUUAACGCAUUAAGUGCUCCGCCUGGGGAGUACGCACGCAAGUGUG